Molecule: long non-coding RNA, 1152 nt
Organism: Strongylocentrotus purpuratus (purple sea urchin)
Lineage: Eukaryota; Metazoa; Echinodermata; Echinoidea; Camarodonta; Strongylocentrotidae
Exons: 3
Source: RefSeq, a predicted model, not a curated record
GUAACUUACUGUGGAAGGCUUGUGCGGAAUACGCGUGCGUACCAUUAGGCAGCCUAUGCCAUACAUGCUCGACCGGCUAGCGGCGGAUCCAAGAGUUUUUUUUUCAAAGGAGGGGCAUGAAGUGUUAUAUCGGCAUGGGUCCCGGGGCCAAAGGGCCCCGGAAAAAAAAAUUGAACUAUAAGAUGCUUUAUGGUACAUUCUGAGGCAUUUCUGAAUGCGUAAACUGAACAUUUAUUUGAAAAUUCUGGGCUUUUCCCUGUUUUUUCGGAAGGAAAAGGGGGCAUGCACCCCAACGCUCCCCAUGGGUCCGGCCCUGGCAAGGCUAGCUAGCUCGACGCGAUCCGGCAGGGCUAGCUCUCUGCAGUACUCCCAGGACUGGCGUCGACCACCGGCGCCGCCGCUAGACCCGCCACGCCAGAGCGCCUAGCUAGAUACCGUACCUGGAGCUAGCAUCAGCUACAGUUUCAGCUGGUCGUCGCAGCUUUUUAGCCUUGCCUAUGCUGCUGGUGGUUCCUUUGUCUUCACUCCAAAAAUAUCUACAAUGUAUACGGUACCAAAACCUAACAUGCUUGAAGAUGUAGAAGAUCCUCGCUAUCCAUCCACCUUCGCAGCUUCUUUUGCCUCACAAUUACCUCUGUCACAAGUCCUAUCAAACACCGUGCCCGAUUCUGGUGAAGCUGACAGCACUGGGGACACUUCGCCUCAAUUGAAGCUGUUAUUCAACCCUUAGACACAACCACUUGCCUCCUAAUUACCUGCUAUGAAAGAAAUUACAUAUUGUGAGCUACUAGCAAAGGAACAACUUCAACACUGCAUCAAAUGGCUCGACCAAAGUUAUCAGUGGAGCAAUAUUCACCUGGUUUCCCCAAAACAAAACAGCACAUCCCAAAGAAUGGUGAACUCCAGUUGAAAAGACAUGCGAUUCUGAAAUAACCAUGGUCAUUUCAGACAUCUUGCGGGAGAAUUAAAAGGGGCAAGAACAUUCAGUGAUUUAGAUACAUUUUACCAUCAGGAGCAUUCACUGCAUUGCACAGUAUGUUACUGAAUAGUUGGAGAGAAACUGGACUCUGUGUAACUAUACUAGACAUGACAAGUACAGAAGUACUAGCUAGUAAUGGACAAGGAAUUUUACUCACGUGAGCAGUUCAAAAC